CGUUUGCAGGUUUCCUCAAAUAACUUAUCUCAUUCAAAAUUCAAAUUCAUUAUCAUCAAACGAAAUCUGCAAAACAAAUUCCAAAACGCAGAGGAAAAGAGAGAGAAGAGACGACCUCUAUUUCAUCUUUUCAAAAACCCUAAACCCAAUCUAAAAAGGAAGACCACGCUAGCUUGAUGGGAGUUUGUUUGUGGGGUUUGUUGUAUUUGUUUUUGCUAGAUUGAGGAUCUUGAAUCGUCGACUAUGAUCGUGGAUUCUGAUUCACAAAAGGGGACUCAACCAAGGUAACGCAUUGAUUCCAUUUUGGGUAGUGGAAACUUGAGAGAAGCUGUGAGGCUUAUUCCAAUUCUCUGCAUUCGACAACAUAUUUCAUACACAGGUUUAUUUUUAAAAUUUCAAAUAAAAUCCAGGUUGUAACUGUCUUAUUCAGCUAUAUUUAGCAUCACAACCACAUAAAACUGAACUUUAAUAGGUGGUGGUUUGAGUUUUGAUCAUAGUUAUCAAAGGCGUGAAUCUAACACGAAAUUUGCGGGUUUUAGUUUAGUCUAAACGGGUUCGGGUCAGUUUCCGGCUGAACACGUUUAGCUAAACGGGUCAGGUUCAGGUCAACCCUUUGGGUUGGCGGGUUGACCAGUUUAACCAAUUUAUAUUAUAUUAUUCUUUUAUACAAUAUGUAUUAUGUUAUAAAUUAAAUUAAAUUGG
RNAcentral lists this long non-coding RNA (702 nucleotides) under Helianthus annuus (common sunflower). Lineage: Eukaryota; Viridiplantae; Streptophyta; Magnoliopsida; Asterales; Asteraceae. The record is from RNAcentral.